ACAGAAACGAGCGUCUCAGACGACACAUUUGGACGACACCAAUUUUGACACCACAGUAGUGGCAAUGGAAAGUAAUGCAGCUACUCUUGAAGAUAUAACAGAUAAUAAGCAGGGCAUGAACGAAGUAUGGAGGAUCUGUUUGAAAAUUCCAGACAUGAGAAAGAAAAUGACAGGGAGAGAUGUCCAGUUCAACGUUACCAGGACAAUUCAGCAAAGUUCCAACAGAUAUAAAAAAUCUGAAUUUGAGGCAAAUAUAUACUGUCAUGUAUAUAUAUAAGAUGGAUAAAGGACAUGAUACUUUAGCAGUGCUUCAGAGAAUCACAUUUGGCUACAGAAGUUUGUAGUAUUUUGGUUGUAAUCAAGUUAUUAAGCUGAAGCUUCAUAGUAAAACAGAUCUAGGCUACACCUUCACUAUUCAAGUCAGACUUUAAAAGGAAGCCUUUUUUGUUGAUAGCUGAACAUAUGAAGAAACUUUCAAAAGAGUGGAGCAUUUAGAAGACGGAACAAUCAAAUAUUAUUUG
This is a long non-coding RNA of Mytilus californianus (California mussel), 521 nucleotides long. RefSeq lists it as uncharacterized. The transcript is spliced from 5 exons. NCBI's taxonomy places the organism in Eukaryota, Metazoa, Mollusca, Bivalvia, Mytilida, Mytilidae. The record is from RefSeq and is a predicted model, not a curated record.